GACGAACGCUGGCGGCGUGCUUAACACAUGCAAGUCGAACGGAAAGGCCCUGCUUUUGUGGGGUGCUCGAGUGGCGAAAGGGUGAGUAACAAGUGAGUAACCUGCCCUUGACUUUGGGAUAACUUCAGGAAACUGGGGCUAAUACCGGAUAGGAGCUCCUGCUGCAUGGUGGGGGUUGGAACGUUUCGGCGGUUGGGGAUGGACUCGCGGCUUAUCAGCUUGUUGGUGGGGUAGUGGCUUACCAAGGCUUUGACGGGUAGCCGGCCUGAGAGGGUGACCGGCCACAUUGGGACUGAGAUACGGCCCAGACUCCUACGGGAGGCAGCAGUGGGGAAUAUUGCACAAUGGGCGGAAGCCUGAUGCAGCAACGCCGCGUGCGGGAUGACGGCCUUCGAGUUGUAAACCGCUUUCGCCUGUGACGAAGCGUGAGUGACGGUAAUGGGUAAAGAAGCACCGGCUAACUACGUG
RNAcentral lists this ribosomal RNA (468 nucleotides) under uncultured bacterium. Its description in RNAcentral is "partial 16S ribosomal RNA". It matches the Rfam family "Bacterial small subunit ribosomal RNA", at positions 28 to 507 of the family's 1533-position model. The record is from RNAcentral.